AAGGGUGGGCACGCAUUGCGUGCCGCCGCCCAGCGAAUCUCUUCCGCUCAAACUUGAUAAAUGGUUUGCAACAGCUACAGGCGCGUAGCUCAGUUGGUUAGAGCGCACGACUGAUAAUCGUGAGGUCGGCAGUUCAAAUCUGCCCGUGCCUACCAGCGGUCCGUUCCUAUUAUAUGGAGUUGCCGACCAUCUGUGUGCGUUAUGCAUAUAACCCAAGUUUAGAGCGCGAAAUGCAUCAAGUUUUGUCGUGUUGGCCGCGCAAGCGCGCAGCCUCGUGACACGCUGUUUGACAAAGUUAGUGAAGACAUCCAAGACCGCGGGAUUUAGACCGGCGACCGCAUUAGGUAACUAAUGUGGAAUCUGGCUAAUCCUGCAAAAAUAGCUUGCAGAUCAUAUGUGAAGGCAUUUGCCUUUACGUACGGUCUGAUCAAGCGUCUCUAAGGGCAUUUGGUGGAUGCCUUGGC
Molecule: transfer RNA, 464 nt
Filed under: uncultured Alphaproteobacteria bacterium
Lineage: Bacteria; Pseudomonadati; Pseudomonadota; Alphaproteobacteria
Description: partial 16S-23S ribosomal RNA intergenic spacer
Rfam family: tRNA (bases 79-152)
Source: RNAcentral